GUUCCUUGGUAUUUUCCAGAUGACAGUAUGAUCUACUCAGUUUCUGUAUUCUCUUCACUGUCUUGGAAUGUAAGACCUACAGUGGCAGUGACCUGGUCUUUCUGGUUCACCGUGGUUUCCCGUUGAUCUCAAUCUUUUCUUGGCAUAUAGAAGACAGCCGUCAAUAACUGUCUGAUCCAUGGGUGUAGCUGUCCUGGAGAAAGUGAGCCCUCCUCCCCAGUCUGAGGCUGCUGCUGUGAUUCCAUUUAGUGGACGCAAUGGAACAGGAGUAAUUACAGGUGACUGCCACCUGCGAAAUGUACUGCUACAUUUCUAAGAAUUUCCUGACAAAGUGAGGGACACUAGUUACCAACGAGCUGCUUGGGAUUGCAAGGUUCACUUCAUGAAGCAGAGACGAAGGAGAUCUCAAGCAAGGACCUUCUACUUCUAAAACCCAAGAGCAUUUCAUCCUUUCAGGGUGAAUACAAAUAAACCAUACAUUUUUAACCAAUAA
This 493-nucleotide long non-coding RNA is filed under the name Chinchilla lanigera (long-tailed chinchilla). Its description in RNAcentral is "lncRNA (ENSCLAG00000029150.1)". The record is from RNAcentral. Lineage: Eukaryota; Metazoa; Chordata; Mammalia; Rodentia; Chinchillidae.